UGACGCUGGCGGAUGUUUACACAUGCAAGUCGAACGGCAGCACGGACUUCGGUCUGGUGGCGAGUGGCGAACGGGUGAGUAAUACAUCGGAACGUGCCCAGUCGUGGGGGAUAACGUAGCGAAAGCUACGCUAAUACCGCAUACGAUCUAAGGAUGAAAGCGGGGGAUCGCAAGACCUCGCGCGAUUGGAGCGGCCGAUGGCAGAUUAGGUAGUUGGUAGGGUAAAGGCCUACCAAGCCGACGAUCUGUAGCUGGUCUGAGAGGACGACCAGCCACACUGGGACUGAGACACGGCCCAGACUCCUACGGGAGGCAGCAGUGGGGAAUUUUGGACAAUGGGCGAAAGCCUGAUCCAGCCAUUCCGCGUGCAGGAUGAAGGCCCUCGGGUUGUAAACUGCUUUUGUACGGAACGAAAAGGUCCUGGUUAAUACCUGGGGCUCAUGACGGUACCGUAAGAAUAAGCACCGGCUAACUACGUGCCAGCAGCCGCGGUAAUACGUAGGGUGCAAGCGUUAAUCGGAAUUACUGGGCGUAAAGCGUGCGCAGGCGGUGAUGUAAGACAGAGGUGAAAUCCCCGGGCUCAACCUGGGAACUGCCUUUGUGACUGCAUCGCUGGAGUACGGCAGAGGGGGAUGGAAUUCCGCGUGUAGCAGUGAAAUGCGUAGAUAUGCGGAGGAACACCGAUGGCGAAGGC
This 694-nucleotide ribosomal RNA is filed under the name uncultured Acidovorax sp. RNAcentral's name for it is "bacterial SSU rRNA". It matches the Rfam family "Bacterial small subunit ribosomal RNA", at positions 31 to 722 of the family's 1533-position model. The record is from RNAcentral. Lineage: Bacteria; Pseudomonadati; Pseudomonadota; Betaproteobacteria; Burkholderiales; Comamonadaceae.